Molecule: ribosomal RNA, 119 nt
Filed under: Olea europaea subsp. europaea
Lineage: Eukaryota; Viridiplantae; Streptophyta; Magnoliopsida; Lamiales; Oleaceae
Source: RNAcentral
GGGUGCGAACAUACCAGCACUAACGCAACGGAUCCCAUCAGAACUCCGAAAUUAAGUGUGUUUGGGCGAGAGUAUUACUAGGAUGGGUGACCCCCUGGGAAGUACUCGUGUUGCACCCA